GCACCAAUAGCUCAGCUGGGAGAGCGCCAGACUGAAGUCAAAACUUCAGUACAGACUAGUAGUUGAUCUGGAGGUCAGGCGUUCGAUCCGCCUUUGGGGCA
This is a non-coding RNA of Lithohypha guttulata, 101 nucleotides long. The record is from the annotation of a RefSeq genome assembly. Lineage: Eukaryota; Fungi; Ascomycota; Eurotiomycetes; Chaetothyriales; Trichomeriaceae.